AUUGAACGCUGGCGGCAGGCCUAACACAUGCAAGUCGAACGGCAGCACAGAAGAGCUUGCUCUUUGGGUGGCGAGUGGCGGACGGGUGAGUAAUGUCUGGGAAACUGCCCGAUGGAGGGGGAUAACUACUGGAAACGGUAGCUAAUACCGCAUAACGUCGCAAGACCAAAGUGGGGGACCUUCGGGCCUCACACCAUCGGAUGUGCCCAGAUGGGAUUAGCUAGUAGGUGGGGUAAUGGCUCACCUAGGCGACGAUCCCUAGCUGGUCUGAGAGGAUGACCAGCCACACUGGAACUGAGUCACGGUCCAGACUCCUACGGGAGGCAGCAGUGGGGAAUAUUGCACAAUUGGCGCAAGCCUGAUGCAGCCAUGCCGCGUGUAUGAAGAAGGCCUUCGGGUUGUAAAGUACUUUCAGCGGGGAGGAAGGCGGUGAGGUUAAUAACCUUGCCGAUUGACGUUACCCGCAGAAGAAGCACCGGCUAACUCCGUGCCAGCAGCCGCCGUAA
RNAcentral lists this ribosomal RNA (506 nucleotides) under uncultured bacterium. Its description in RNAcentral is "partial 16S ribosomal RNA". It matches the Rfam family "Bacterial small subunit ribosomal RNA", at positions 30 to 523 of the family's 1533-position model. The record is from RNAcentral.